Molecule: ribosomal RNA, 313 nt
Filed under: uncultured bacterium
Lineage: Bacteria
Description: bacterial SSU rRNA
Rfam family: Bacterial small subunit ribosomal RNA
Source: RNAcentral
GAUGAACGCUGGCGGCGUGCCUAAUACAUGCAAGUCGAACGCGCAGCGAAAGGUGCUUGCACCUUUCAAGCGAGUGGCGAACGGGUGAGUAACACGUGGAUAACCUGCCUCAAGGCUGGGGAUAACAUUUGGAAACAGAUGCUAAUACCGAAUAAAACUUAGUAUCGCAUGAUACAAAGUUGAAAGGCGCUACGGCGUCACCUAGAGAUGGGUCCGCGGUGCAUUAGUUAGUUGGUGGGUAAAGGCCUACCAAGACAAUGAUGCAUAGCCGAGUUGAGAGACUGAUCGGCACAUUGGGACUGAGACACGGCCC